This 1212-nucleotide long non-coding RNA is filed under the name Bos indicus x Bos taurus (hybrid cattle). RNAcentral describes it as "lncRNA (ENSBIXG00000000322.1)". The record is from RNAcentral. Lineage: Eukaryota; Metazoa; Chordata; Mammalia; Artiodactyla; Bovidae.
CCCCGCGCCCGGGAGACCCCCCCCUUGGCGGCCCGCGGGCUCCAGGAGACGCUCCCGAGGGGCGCUCCCCGCCUCCCGCAGCCCCCCGGCUCGGGCUCCCUCGCUCCCGCCACAAAGGCGGCGGUGACAGGCCUCUGGCCUUGGGGCGCGGACCGCACGGACUGGGUCUCCUCGUGGGGCUUGGGGCUGGCACGGGCGGCCAGCCUCGCCGUACAAACGCAGCGGCGCUCACGCCCCGCGCUCCGCCGGGCUAGCCCUCCAGAAAAAGUCAGCCGCGCGCCGGCCCGCGCAGGCAGGGUGUGCACAGCCCGCCAAAGGGCAGCGCCGGCGGCGCAGCGGCGCGCGCUCGCGCCCGGCUGGCCACCUCUCAUCACCACCACCCCCGCGCCCCGCCGCCUCCCCGCGCCCCGAGUCCCCACAGCCGCUCACCUGGCCCUGGCAGCGCGCGAGGGCCGAGGACCCGGGGUGGCCCUCGCCUGGGUCGGGGCUCGUCUCCCCACCCCCAGCCGGGUGGCGGCGCCGCGCUCCGCUCGCUCUGCCGCGCUCCUCCGAGGAGCUAGCGCCGCCGCUGGCUGGCGUCUGUGUGUGCCGGGCAAGCUGGCCGCGCGCCCAGGUCCCCGGGGCGGAGCGAGGCGGCGGCCGCAGCGGCCGGAGGCGGAUUCCUCAGGUGCGGCCCCUCCCGCUUCCCCGGGACCUCGGCGGCGGCGGGGACCCCCGGACCCCCACCUCCGCCCCGCCUCUCGGCCGACCGCCCUUCCAGGCGCCCCCUUCCCGACCCUCGCGGAGUGCAGUGGGGAGCGGGCUUGCGGCCCCCCGCCCCGGGUGAAUCCCCUCGCCCCGGGGGCUCGCGCCCCCAUUCCCAAACUCGUGCGGCCCCCGGGGGGCACGUGUGUGGCCACUGCGGGGACGUGUAUGUCCACUGCGGAGAGUGGAGGGGUCUUCUCGGGAGAAGGACUGUCCCCCACAAACGCCCCCGGGGCGGCUGACGGGCUCAGCCGAGAAGAAAAAUUAUUUUCUCGCCGAUUCCACCUUCAUUCACAGAGUGCUUUCGCCGCGCUGCGGGAUUGCUUUCUCUGUCCGCUGGACGGCGGCCAAAGGGCCCUAAGCGUGAGCUCGAAGUGGGCGAUCGGGGGGUCGAAACCCUUCGGCCUUUUGCUUGAAGUGGGGCUGGGGGGGUGGGGCGGGGACGGGACGCGCACAAAUCCCAAGUGA